Long non-coding RNA from Armigeres subalbatus, 1044 nucleotides. RefSeq lists it as uncharacterized. The transcript has 4 exons. The record is from RefSeq and is a predicted model, not a curated record. NCBI's taxonomy places the organism in Eukaryota, Metazoa, Arthropoda, Insecta, Diptera, Culicidae.
UUCCGUUUUCAACGAACCGAUAAGCAGGUGGACAAGGGUAAGGUUACGCGGCGAGUGUCAAGGAAAUACAAAGCAGGAAAAACUCGUCCUGCAUACAAAGAGACACUUUCCAGAAGGACGGUAAAGGGAAAAUCGAUACAGAAAUUAUUAUCUCCGGUUGAUGAAAUGACAGAGGACUUUUGUCGAUCCCAGUAGGCUUUUCGUCUGAACAGCAGCGAAUUCUAAUUAGCCCAACCUACUUUGGUUCACAUUCGCUUUGACUUAUUGCAAAGUAUUCAAAACCAAUCCUCGAUUGCUUCUUGAUGAAACGCCAGCCUGGAUCGGUCGUUUAAUUUUCUGGUGUAACGAAGCAAGAAAUUAUCAUUUUUAGCGUGCCGUCGCAGAAUUCGGAUGAUUCUAAUUGUGGGAAACUCACGUUACGAUACAGGACAGGAGAAUCUAAUUACAAACACAGAGGCCCUGCUGCCCUUCCCCGUUGCUUCGACGCGAGAAGGUGAUACCCCGAGCGCGCGGUGCAAUUAAGUCGCGAUGAGUGUUAGAUCAUCACGUUCCACGGUUCCAAGAACAGGCCCAGCUACAGGAUCUCUUAAGAAGCCACAUCGAACUCCUGCGGACUACAAGAGAUACCGACGAAUCCAAAGCCAAUGGCAUGCGACUAUUUUCCAGGCCUUAGCUAUCGCUGAUAGUAUUCGACUCAGCAAGCGUCCUGGCUGCACUGAGCUCCCUGGUCAACAAACACCCGUUACGGACAGCGACACCACCUACAUGUGGGUUCCCAAAAACUCCGGCAUCGAAGGACAUGAACAUGCCGAUACGUUAGCCAACAAUGAUCGCGACAGCCGUUUCCUGCGUCCAGAGGUGCCGACAUCUGAUGUGAAACUUUGGAUCAAGCAAGAAACCGCAGCAGCUUGGGCCACCGAGUGACAAUGAACGUUCUGCAGAAUGUUAAAGAACACUAAAUUGUCUGGAGAAGACAUGCCCAAUCGGCACGAAUAAAUGUAACAAACCAUUGUGCUAGUUAAAAUGUAAAUAUUGUUUUCUCGA